Molecule: ribosomal RNA, 894 nt
Filed under: uncultured bacterium
Lineage: Bacteria
Description: bacterial SSU rRNA
Rfam family: Bacterial small subunit ribosomal RNA
Source: RNAcentral
AGAGUUUGAUCCUGGCUCAGGACGAACGCUGGCGGCGUGCUAAUGCAUGCAAGUCGAACGCAGCAGCUUCGGCUGGCUGCGUGGCGAACGGCUGAGGAACACGUGGGUGACCUGCCCCAGAGUGGGGGAUACCCCGUCGAAAGACGGGAUAAUCCCGCAUACGCUCUACGGAGGAAAGCCCCUACGGGCGCUCUGGGAGGGGCCUGCGGCCCAUCAGGUUGUUGGUGUGGUAACGGCGCACCAAGCCACUGACGGGUACCCGGUCUGAGAGGACGGCCGGGCAGACUGGGACUGCGACACGGCCCAGACUCCUACGGGAGGCAGCAGCAAGGAAUUUUCCCCAAUGGGCGCAAGCCUGAGGGAGCAACGCCGCGUGGAGGACGACGGCCUUCGGGUUGUAAACUCCUUUCGGGUGGGACGACUCCGACGGUACCACCAGAAGCAGCCCCGGCUAACUCUGUGCCAGCAGCCGCGGUAAGACAGAGGGGGCAAGCGUUGUCCGGAGUUACUGGGCGUAAAGGGCGCGGAGGCGGUCUGCGGCGUCGGCGCUGAAAGCGCCCCGCUUAACGGGGCGAGGCGUGCCGAUACGCGCAGACUUGAGGCGAGCAGAGGGUGGUGGAAUUCCGGGUGGAGCGGUGAAAUGCGUAGAGAUCCGGAGGAACGCCAGUGGGGAAGCCGGCCACCUGGGCUCGGCCUGACGCUGCGGCGCGACCGCGUGGGGAGCAAACCGGAUUAGAUACCCGGGUAGUCCACGCCGUAAACGAUGCCAGCUCGGCGUGUAGCGCACGGUCGUGCGCUGCGUGCCUUAGCUCACGCGAAAGCUACCGCCUGGGGACUACGAGCGCAAGCUUGCAUGCCUGCAGGUCGACUCUAGAGUCCCCGGACCAGCUGUGA